RNAcentral lists this ribosomal RNA (916 nucleotides) under Xanthoporus syringae. RNAcentral's name for it is "eukaryotic LSU rRNA". It matches the Rfam family "Eukaryotic large subunit ribosomal RNA", at positions 34 to 937 of the family's 3401-position model. Lineage: Eukaryota; Fungi; Basidiomycota; Agaricomycetes; Polyporales; Steccherinaceae. The record is from RNAcentral.
UUAAGCAUAUCAAUAAGCGGAGGNAAAGAAACUAACAAGGAUUCCCCUAGUAACUGCGAGUGAAGCGGGAAAAGCUCAAAUUUAAAAUCUGGCAGCUUUGGCUGUCCGAGUUGUAGUCUGGAGAAGCGUUUUCUGUGCUGGACCGUGUACAAGUCUCUUGGAACAGAGCGUCAUAGAGGGUGAGAAUCCCGUCUUUGACACGGACCGCCAGUGCUGUGUGAUGCGCUCUCAAAGAGUCGAGUUGUUUGGGAAUGCAGCUCAAAAUGGGUGGUAAAUUCCAUCUAAAGCUAAAUAUUGGCGAGAGACCGAUAGCGAACAAGUACCGUGAGGGAAAGAUGAAAAGCACUUUGGAAAGAGAGUUAAACAGUACGUGAAAUUGCUGAAAGGGAAACACUUGAAGUCAGUCGCGUUGGCCGGAAYUCAGCCUGGCUUUUGCCUGGUGUAUUUUCUGGUUGACGGGCCAGCAUCAAUUUUGACCGUUGGACAAAGGCCGGGGGAAUGUGGCACCUUCGGGUGUGUUAUAGCCCUUGGUCACAUGCAAUGGUUGGGAUUGAGGAUCUCAGCAUGCCUUUAUGGUCGGKGUUCGCCCACGUUCAUGCUUAGGAUGCUGGCGUAAUGGCUUUAAANGACCCGUCUUGAAACACGGACCAAGGAGUCUAACAUACCUGCGAGUGUUUGGGUGGAAAACCCGAGCGCGCAAUGAAAGUGAAAGUNGGGAUCCCUGUCGCGGGGAGCACCGACGCCCGGACCAGACCUUCUGUGACGGAUCCGCGGUAGAGCAUGCAUGUUGGGACCCGAAAGAUGGUGAACUAUGCCUGAAUAGGGUGAAGCCAGAGGAAACUCUGGUGGAGGCUCGUAGCGAUUCUGACGUGCAAAUCGAUCGUCAAAUUUGGGUAUAGGGGCGAAANACUAAUCG